UAACGUCCUUCGGGGUUAGGUGCAAUUCCUUACCGGCGGUAAAAGCCCGCGAGCCGCAAAGGCAGACCCGGUGCAAUUCCGGGGCCGACAGUGACAGUCUGGAAGGGAGAAGGCGUUU
RNAcentral lists this non-coding RNA (118 nucleotides) under Neomoorella glycerini. RNAcentral describes it as "Moorella glycerini FMN sequence". It matches the Rfam family "FMN riboswitch aptamer (RFN element)". From Rfam's summary of the family: The RFN element is a highly conserved domain that is found frequently in the 5'-untranslated regions of prokaryotic mRNAs that encode for flavin mononucleotide (FMN) biosynthesis and transport proteins. The record is from RNAcentral. Lineage: Bacteria; Bacillati; Bacillota; Clostridia; Neomoorellales; Neomoorellaceae.